GUUCAGGUGGCAUAGUGGUUAGAACGUCUACCUCAGAUGCGGGAGGUCGCGGCUUCGAACCGCGGCUGACUUACA
Potamilus streckersoni is the source of this 75-nucleotide non-coding RNA. Lineage: Eukaryota; Metazoa; Mollusca; Bivalvia; Unionida; Unionidae. The record is from the annotation of a GenBank genome assembly.